GCGCGAGUGGUGAAAUUGGCAGACACGCUAGUUUUAGGCACUAGUGCUCUAUGGCGUGAGGGUUCAAGUCCCUCCUCGCGCACCA
RNAcentral lists this transfer RNA (85 nucleotides) under Mycoplasma miroungirhinis. RNAcentral's name for it is "Mycoplasma sp. Mirounga ES2806-NAS tRNA-Leu". It matches the Rfam family "tRNA". Rfam says of the family: Transfer RNA (tRNA) molecules are approximately 80 nucleotides in length. The record is from RNAcentral. Lineage: Bacteria; Bacillati; Mycoplasmatota; Mollicutes; Mycoplasmatales; Mycoplasmataceae.